CUAGCAGCAUAAUUCUUGUACUGGGUGAAUCAGCGGACUUUGGUGUAUUUUGCGAUUUUCAUAGCUCGUUCUACCUCCGUCGCGGAGAUAUGACGAGAGAAGAAACGGCUUCAUUUCCAGAGUUUGAAGACUGAGAGAAGGACAGAUUUCCACCCCUCAAACAAACGUAAUUCAUUGCUUAACGGGUUCACAAUAACUCACAGGCCAAUGCUAUGAUGCAGCAGGCCACUGUCAUCCUGCAGGUGGAGGAAUCCAUGCCCCUCCUGCGUCGUUUCUACAACAACCAGUACAUCUCCAGCCACUGCUUGCCAUUGGUCGAACCCUCUGAUGAUGGCAUCACAAUAAAAUUGCAUUACCAUGAUGAGAUGGGACGAAUUACAGUGCAGAUCAAAGAGGUUCUAGACCAGUUCUUGGUCCUGCAGCAGGAGGCAGAGACCACAGGAGGUCCACGAGUCCAGAUGGACCAGGACCAGCAGAACCAGCAGGCGACCCAGAGGAAUAAGUGCCAGCAGAGCCAGGAUCUUCAGGGGCACCAUGAUAAACAGAAUCAGAACCAGGGCAAAAAAGACAAAUUUAGCCAAAUCCUACAGAAGCAGAACCAGGAGCUUCAGGCCUUGCGAGCAGAGCUGAAGGAGCUCCGGGCUCUGGUCUUGCAGCUGGUUAAAACCAAGACCAACUCUGUAUAAGAGCUGUGGGUUGGACUGGGAGGAACGUCAGAACCAUUGUUUCAUGUUUCUGUUUCUCCAGAAGCUCCUCUGGUCCGGGAUUUCCUGUUUAAUUCUUAUUUACAAACUCUCAUAAAUGAAAAUACCAGUGAGAAGUUUGCUAAAGGUUCAGAGUGUCAUUCAUCUUUAACUGUUUAACUGUUCACCUGCAUCCAACUCUAAAGUCCCGCCAUUUGGCAGCCAAAUGGCUAAAAUAUAACAGGACACUGGAGUAAACUCUCAACUCUCACACUUCUGUUUAAUCAGUUUUCUGUUUGACGAUUAUUCAGCUGUGUGAAAACUACAACUUUAAUCUCAGCCAAACCGAUUUACUCAGGAACAAAUCAAACACUGAAAAAAGCCAAACAAUAACAUUUUUAAGUUAUCUGAGUGACUUAUAUAUCAUGUUUAACCUGAGUAGCAAAAGACCGCGCGGGGGGAGGGUUGAAACAGGGGCGGAUGAAACAGGGGCGGAUCUAGAGAAAUUUUCUUAGGGUGGCAAAGAAAUCAAAUGGGGUGGCAAAAUCAAAGCCUUUUUUUUUUCAAACACAUAUGCAGGUGGUUACAUAUGGUUAAAAUGAUUCAAAUGCAGUACCUAUACCCAUUUUUCAUAUAAAUAUAGUCUAGAAUUUCAUUAUUGUCUGUAGCCCACAUAAUUAAACACUUUAGUUACAUAAAACAUGUGAGUUUUGAUGUUAUGUACUGUAUAGCCUGUAUAAUAAAUAAAUAUUUAGCCCAGUAAGUAUCCAGAAAAGCUACACAACAUGGGCGCUUCAUUACAAACACAAGUCUAACUUCAGUUAGAAAAUAAUCAAAUUGUUACAUGCUUAAAUUACACAAAAUGUCAGAAAUCUGCACUGUCAAAAACAUAAAUGUAAACCUAAUUUUUCAUGAUUUGUUGGAUUAACCCACUGAGGUCCAAAAUAUAACCAGUCAUUUUUGACAUUUUUAUUUCACCUUCGAAUUGUUUAAUUCUAUUUUUUCCUGCCAUGCUUGGUAUCAUUCUUUUCAGCUCAGCCUCACAUGUCUGAAUUUAGUUGUUUUUUCAUUGACAUACUGUGUUAACACAACUGAUCUGAAAUCACACAAAAAACUUAAAAUCCUAGAAGGUUUUUUUUACUGCAAAAAACACAGACAUGUUGAGUCAAUUAUUUUUAUAACUUGAAAUGCAAAUAUAAAUUGUACAUUUUGAAAACGUAUGCACACAUUUUGUAAACAAAUACAACUAUUUAUCUAAAAAUGCAGCCAAUGCACCUGCCGUUUUUUUAUUUUGUACAACCAUUUAAAAAUAUUACUAAAGCUAAAAUGAGAGAACAAUCAGUUCUCGCAAUAAGAUGCCCCACAAAUGAUGUGUGCCAGUAAAAAAAAUUAUUUGCCCACCACAAGACAGAGGAGAACAGCACAGGGAUAAACCUGCA
Oreochromis aureus is the source of this 2122-nucleotide long non-coding RNA. The record is from Ensembl. NCBI's taxonomy places the organism in Eukaryota, Metazoa, Chordata, Actinopteri, Cichliformes, Cichlidae.